This 301-nucleotide signal recognition particle RNA is filed under the name Eptatretus burgeri (inshore hagfish). Its description in RNAcentral is "Metazoan signal recognition particle RNA (ENSEBUG00000000216.1)". It matches the Rfam family "Metazoan signal recognition particle RNA". From Rfam's summary of the family: The signal recognition particle (SRP) is a universally conserved ribonucleoprotein. It is involved in the co-translational targeting of proteins to membranes. The record is from RNAcentral. Lineage: Eukaryota; Metazoa; Chordata; Myxini; Myxiniformes; Myxinidae.
GCCGGGUGUAGUGGCGUGCACCUGUAAUCCGGCUUCUCGGAGGCUUGGGUUGAGGGAUCGCACGAGGACGGAUCAGCUGCUCCACACCUUGCUAUGUCGAUCGGGCGUCCACACCAAGCUCGGCAUCGACAUGGGGAGCCGGGGGUAGUCCUGUGCUCUCCAGGUCGGUCUCCUAAGGAGGGAUGAACCGACCCAGGCCGGUAACGGAGCAGGUCAAAGUCCCCGUGUUGAUCAGUGGUGGGACAGCGCUCGUGAAUAGAGGGUGUGGAGCGGCCCGGUCUCAGGGCGAAACACAAUCCUU